CCUGGUUACUCAAGGUUCAGGUGGCAUCUUAUGUCCUGCACUAAAGACAUUCCUGCUGUUCCUGCCUCCAUCAACUCCCUUCUCCUCUGGAACUUGUAGUACUUAAGUAGCCACCAAGGUCAUACAGGAAGGAAAAGCCAAAAUAAAAUGCAUUUCCUUCUUGGUGGUUGUUUGGUCUGUGAGACCUGCAUGUGUGUACACUACCUGGCUUGAAAGUAGACGGAUCUCCUCCACACCCCUGGGCUUUGAAUGGAGCAAAAAGGGUCUUGUGCCACACUAGACAGUCAGACAAUGGGAUUGACCGAGGGCCUUUGGGCCACACAGCAUCUGCUCUACCUCCAGAGGGGUGUAGGAUGUGACAUACAGGCACACAGUCAACCAUAUCUGUGUGAUUGAACCUCAGUGAAAAUCUGGACACCCAAGAAUCCAGUAACCUUCUCAGGUUCGUGAUACUCUGUGCAUAUUGUCACACAUUGUUGCCAGGGGAUUUCAUGUUACCCAUGAUUCUACUGGGCAAGGGCAAUGAAAACUCCAAGUUUAGAAUUUUCUGGGACUCUGCCCUAUGCACAUCUUCCCUUCCCCAUUUUAACUUGC
This is a long non-coding RNA of Phyllostomus hastatus (greater spear-nosed bat), 594 nucleotides long. RefSeq lists it as uncharacterized. The record is from RefSeq and is a predicted model, not a curated record. NCBI's taxonomy places the organism in Eukaryota, Metazoa, Chordata, Mammalia, Chiroptera, Phyllostomidae. The transcript is spliced from 3 exons.